RNAcentral lists this ribosomal RNA (433 nucleotides) under uncultured bacterium. RNAcentral's name for it is "partial 16S ribosomal RNA". It matches the Rfam family "Bacterial small subunit ribosomal RNA", at positions 29 to 507 of the family's 1533-position model. The record is from RNAcentral.
AACGAACGCUGGCGGCAUGCCUAACACAUGCAAGUCGAACGAGACCUUCGGGUCUAGUGGCGCACGGGUGCGUAACGCGUGGGAACCUGCCCUUAGGUUCGGAAUAACUCAGAGAAAUUUGAGCUAAUACCGGAUAAUGUCUUCGGACCAAAGAUUUAUCGCCUUUGGAUGGGCCCGCGUAGGAUUAGCCUGUUGGUGGGGUAAUGGCCUACCAAGGCGACGAUCCUUAGCUGGUCUGAGAGGAUGAUCAGCCACACUGGGACUGAGACACGGCCCAGACUCCUACGGGAGGCAGCAGUGGGGAAUAUUGGACAAUGGGCGAAAGCCUGAUCCAGCAAUGCCGCGUGAGUGAUGAAGGCCUUAGGGUUGUAAAGCUCUUUUACCAGGGAUGAUAAUGACAGUACCUGGAGAAUAAGCUCCGGCUAACUCCGUG